This 690-nucleotide long non-coding RNA is filed under the name Brassica napus (rape). RNAcentral describes it as "long non-coding RNA (BNAP_LNC014984)". Lineage: Eukaryota; Viridiplantae; Streptophyta; Magnoliopsida; Brassicales; Brassicaceae. The record is from RNAcentral.
AGUAAUGACUUCGGUACCAAAGUACCAAACAGUCAAGACAAGUACCACUAAACCAAACCAAAUCAAACCAAAAUCAAACUAAUACCAAUAAUUUCCCAGAUAGUUUUCACUAUCCAUUACAAGAAUUUGAUUGUCAAACCUUGCUGUAUUAUCUGAACUGAUUUGAAUUUGAACAUGUUUAACUUGAAAAUCUAUACAAAUUUAAGAAUCAAAAAAAUUAUUUGAAAUAUUAAUAAAUAUUACUCAAUUCUUGUUUAUAACACUUAAUUUUGAUUAAGAUAAUUGGGUAUAUAAAAAAAGUGAGAUUAGUUUUUGACACCAAACCAUCUCCAAUGUUUUUUUCUAUUUUCUUUCUAAAAUAGAAGAACUAUACAAUAGAGAUGAAAUAUGUUCUAAUGUAUCACUCUAUAAGAGCAAUUUCUAAAUAUAUAGUAAAAAUAGAAUACUAUCGUUUCCUCUAUAAUAGCAAUAAAGAAAUAAAAAUGGGAUUGACCAAUUUUACCUCUAAAUGUUAUUAUAAAAAAAAAAAUAACAAUGGGUUGGAAAUGCUCUAAACCUAGAUUACGUAUUUCCGGAGACAAAAUCUUUGAACCAAAAAAUAUCUAAACUAAGACCAAAUAAAACUGAAUAACUAAUUCUAGUUAAUUCCGACCAAUUAUGAAGCUUCAGCAAAAAAACAAAAACAACACC